Molecule: long non-coding RNA, 2908 nt
Filed under: Mus musculus (house mouse)
Lineage: Eukaryota; Metazoa; Chordata; Mammalia; Rodentia; Muridae
Description: long non-coding RNA chr7:91519114-91522022
Source: RNAcentral
AUUGCGCUGCAGGUCAUUAUAUACUUUGUGUAACAUUUGCCACCAAAUAUAAAUUUCAGUUCCCCAUUUCAAGUUUAAUAUGAUGAUAAUAUAUACUUGGAAAUAUUGGAAUGUGAAAAGCAGAUAGUACAUGCCUACUAUGUAACCUUGUCUUGGUACUUUUAAUAAUUAAUGGUUAUCACUCCUAAACUUUGGGUAUAAAUGUUCACAUUGCUAUAAUUUUGUUCACAUUUUUCUUUAUAAAUAUCAGUAAACUGAGCAUGUUUAUGAGCUUGCAACAUUAGGACUGAAUGGCAGUCCCUCAAUCAGUUAUUUGCCUUCAUGACAAAUUGAUUGCAAAAUAAUGCAAAAGCUUCUUGAAAAAAAAUGCCAAUGAGGUUCUCACAGGAAAGUAUAUUGGAACAAGGGAUUCGACUUCAUUUUCUAAGUGAAUCCAGUAAAUUCAUGGUACUCGGUUUGAAUUACGAAGUCUUGAGCUGCUUGCUUUCCAAUGUAGCAGUAUUGCCACAAAGGUAGCCAACAAGUUACCCAAAUGAUGUGAAUGCUCUUGAACAGAUAAACUAGGAUACUGUGAGUCUUCAUAUGCAUAUUUAGUAAAUGACCACUCCAAGGUUAUUUGUGUUUGACAUAAUAGGGUUCAAAGAAUUGAAUUUAUGGGUACAUUUAUCAACCAAAUAUAGUGACAAUUUUCCUUACAUGAAGAAUAUGUGACACUCACCUAAGAGAAUGGAUUUGAAAUAUUAGUCAUCUACAUGACACCUGUGCUAACUCGAUGUAUCCUAGAAGUUUAAAAGCAGUUUCAGAAUGCUGUCUUUAGAAUAUCUUCCAAGUACUAUUUGAUAUUUGUUCAUUUUGUGUGCCUACAAUGGAUGCUAAUGUCACCCAGAUAUUAAAGCUAACAAUCACAAAAGUAGUACUGAUCUGGUCAUAGUCAUAAAUAACAAUGAACAGAACCUCUAUAAAAGACAUCCAAGCAAUUUAUAGUUACUUAAAGGAUCAGAUGAUUUAAUUUGGAGUAUAUCACUAUAAAAUAUUUUAUCUGAAGAUCAAGAUGUUAAAAAAGAAGUAUAAUUAUUAAACCUAUUAACCUCAGUGUCACUUGGUAAAAGUCAGGGCAACGAAUGAGCUCUGUGCUCUAUUAUUUGUUCAAGGCAUUAUAAAGCCUCUAAUGGUCAGUGCUGGUGCAAGAAUUGGUCAGCAAAUACAAUAAAAUGGCUAAAAUGAGUUUAAGAGAGUUCUUUCUUGUUUGCUUUCUAGUAUGAUAAACACUGUGGGAUAUAUAUAUAUAUAUAUAUAUAUAUACACACACAUACACACACAUAUCUAUCUAUCUAUCUCUAUCUCUAUCUCUAUCUCUAUCUCUAUCUCUAUCUCUAUCUAAUCUAUCUAUCUAUCUAUCUAUCUAUCUAUCUAUCUAUCUAACUAUCUAUCUAUAGAUAGAUAGUGUAUAUACAUAUCUCAGGUCAAAAUUUAUCAUUGACAAAGUCAAGGCAGGAGAUUGAGCAGAAAACAUGGAUGAAUACUAUUUACUAUCUUGGUUCCCUGGCUUAUGCUCAGCCAGCUUUCUUUUUUUUAACAUUCUAGGACCCCCUGCCAGGGUGUGACACUAUCUUCAGUGGGCUGGGAUCAUUCCUAUUAAUCAACAAUCAACCCAAUUUCUCUCAGUCAUGCCACAGGCCAAUCUGAUCUGGGCAAUUCCUGAGUAAUAAAAACUAACACGAAAAUAUGGCAAUGAGGUGUGGGACACGUGUGAUGAAGGAAGCAAUCUAAACACAAGAGGGUACCAAUAGUUUUAUUCAAAACACCAAAGUCACAAAAUUGGAAAUUUCAGAAAACUCAAGUUAGAGUCAUCUCUCAUAAAUAUGAAGUCAUGAACAAAACAGGUUGUAGUGACUGCUAUUGCUCAAACCUCAACUCUGUUAACAUUUCCUGGUGUGAAGUUAGAUGACUCAAUUUCUCUUCAUUAUAUAUUUUUUUACCUUAUGAGAAAGAAAUAAUAGUUGUUAUCACACAAGUGCUAAAAUAAAGAACAAUUGUAUGGAUAAUUUAUAUAGCAUUCAGUCAUUAUACAUUGUUAGUGGUUUUUAUCAAGUACUAUAUAUUACACUUUAUUAAUAGGUUUAUGCAAAAUUAAAAUCUCAAAAUAGCCACAUUUAUCUCUCAUAAAUUCAAAUGCAAAAACAUCCCCAAAAUACUAGCAAAAUAAAUUCAGUACACAUUCAAAAGAUUAUUAACAAUGACAAAAAAAGAUAUCUCAGGAAUGAAAGGAUUAUUCAGUAACCAUAUGUCAGGAAGCAUAAUAAGCCAUGAACACAGAAUAAAGAAAGUCAUACAUACUGUCAUAAGCUUAAGAACACUUGAUAGAAUAUAAAUCAUUUCGUGUUGAAAUCUCUCAACAAACUAGGUGUAGGAUUAUAAAUCUUCACAGUAGUAUCAAGUUUGAUAGAUUCUACAAGCCACAGAUAGCCAACAGAGAAAACUGAAAACUUUCAUCCAAAAUGCACAAUAAAAACUAGGAUAUCCAUUAUCACUACUGAUAUUCAGUGUAGUAACAGAAAGCCUAAUCACAAUAAGUAGUGGAGCGAGAGAAACCAGGAGUCUCUAAAUUGGAAAAGAAAAUACUAAACGCCUUCCAUUUGUAAAUGAUUGCUUUUAUACAAGAAAAACCAUUAAGAUUCCAGCAAAAUUGUGUUAAAAAUCAAUUCAGUAGAUUUGCAGGAUGUCAAUGCACAGAAACCAAUGGCAUUUCUGUGUAGAGUCAACAAAUUAUGUGAAGAAGAAAUCAAGAAAACAAUCUCAUUUACAAUAGCAACGAGAAAAUGAUAAACUUUGGAGUCCAUUAAAGCAAGAAUGUGAAUGACACACACUGAAAUCAAAAACCCAGUAAAAGGAAUUUAAGAAACUGCAG